AGGGAUAUGUCUCAGUGGUAGAGCACUAGCCUAACAUGCAAGAAGCCAUGGGUUCAAUCCCCAGUACUA
RNAcentral lists this transfer RNA (69 nucleotides) under Marmota monax (woodchuck). Its description in RNAcentral is "tRNA.Val". Lineage: Eukaryota; Metazoa; Chordata; Mammalia; Rodentia; Sciuridae. The record is from RNAcentral.